GAUGAAGAACGUAGCGAAAUGCGAUAAGUAGUGUGAAUUGCAGAAUUCAGUGAAUCAUCGAAUCUUUGAACGCACAUUGCGCCCCUUGGUAUUCCAUGGGGCAUGCCUGUUCGAGCGUCAUUUGUACCCUCAAGCUUUGCUUGGUGUUGGGCGUCUUGUCGUAUUACGACUCGCCUUAAAUACAUUGGCAGCCGGCACUUUGGCCUAGGAGCGCAGCACAUUUUGCGAUCGUAGCCCGUUGUACUGGCGUCCAUCAAGAACAUUUACCACGUUUGACCUCGGACCAGGUAGGGAUACCCGCUGAACUUAAGCAUAUCAAUAAGCGAGGA
Molecule: unclassified non-coding RNA, 329 nt
Filed under: soil metagenome
Description: partial contains 5.8S ribosomal RNA, internal transcribed spacer 2, and large subunit ribosomal RNA
Rfam family: 5.8S ribosomal RNA (bases 1-120)
Source: RNAcentral